AACGAACGCUGGCGGCAGGCUUAACACAUGCAAGUCGAACGAGAUCUUCGGAUCUAGUGGCAGACGGGUGAGGAACACGUGGGAACAUCCCUUUCAGUUCGGAAUAACGUUGGGAAACUAACGCUAAUACCGGAUACGUCCUUCGGGAGAAAGAUUUAUCGCUGAAAGAUUGGCCCGCGUCUGAUUAGCUAGUUGGUGAGGUAACGGCUCACCAAGGCUACGAUCAGUAGCUGAUCUGAGAGGAUGAUCAGUCACAUUGGGACUGAGACACGGCCCAAACUCCUACGGGAGGCAGCAGUGGGGAAUAUUCCACAAUGGGCGAGAGCCUGAUGGAGCAACGCCGCGUGCAGGAUGAAUGCCUUCGGGUUGUAAACUGCUUUUAUGUGCGAAGAAUUUGACUGUAACACAUGAAUAAGGAUCGGCUAACUACGUGCCAGCCGCCGCCGUAA
RNAcentral lists this ribosomal RNA (449 nucleotides) under uncultured bacterium. Its description in RNAcentral is "partial 16S ribosomal RNA". It matches the Rfam family "Bacterial small subunit ribosomal RNA", at positions 29 to 523 of the family's 1533-position model. The record is from RNAcentral.